Molecule: long non-coding RNA, 2461 nt
Filed under: Zalophus californianus (California sea lion)
Lineage: Eukaryota; Metazoa; Chordata; Mammalia; Carnivora; Otariidae
Description: lncRNA (ENSZCAG00015014426.1)
Source: RNAcentral
UAAAAUCCCCUUUAAACAGCUACAUUGUCAGCCCAUAGGCCUCAUUUAGAACUACAAAAAAGCCCAGAUUAAUUCGAUCAAAGAAAGAGCCAAGUACAAAAUGCACUUUUCAAACUGUAUCAGAGUGGGUUCGCUUUACAGAUCGCUUCGGGGCAAGAACCGCAGGGGAAAGAAAGCCCUGAAAUAAAGCUUGGUUACGAAGCGAAAUAACUAGGUUUGGCUCCUUCUCUGAUUUAUUGGAGCACCUCAAGGCGAAAAUCUCCAAUUAAAAAUUCUUAGAGUGCAAGAUAUUUAAAUAUAAAUGCUGAAACAGACCCCCACAAAUCUCAGCAUCCCGUGUGUACCCUUGGCUCUCAGUCACCAUUCUUAGGAGGAGGCCCUUGGAAGCCUCGCCUGGGUAACCUGGUUAGGAGUGGGUAUUUCUGAAGUCGCAAACACCCCAGUCAGCCAGAGGGCUUGGCACUUGUAAACAUUUAUAUCCGACUCUCCUCGCCCCAUCCCCGGAGGAAAUGUUUUUAAGUUACCGCAAGAAAAGAAACGGCUGGAAAACAAAGGAAAACGGUGAUGACAACAUUUCUUUCCACGAAACAAAACAUGCCCAAGAUUCGGGUCGAAUUCCGGGCUUAGGAGCCUGCUUGCGAGCCCCGCUUCUACAGGCAGGCAGGCGGGACUGUCGGUCGGUCGCGGGGGCUGUCGCUUUGUUUUAGUCUCACCUGGGGGUCUGGAGGUGGGGGAGAGAGCUGGGGUGAGCCAGGCUGGAGUUGGGGUCUCUUAGGGACGCUCCAUUAGUGUCCUAGGCGGGGCGAGCGGCGUCCGCUGGAGCUGGUGCGGCGGCGCGCGGCGGGCGGGCUCCCUCCCUCUCCGCCCCAAGCAGCGCCCCUUCAGCGGCCGCUUUUGUGCGCCGAGAACAUUUUACUGGGGAGGGAAGGGCAGCACAAAGGUAGGGCUACGGGACGGGUCUUGCUGGAUGUGCCGCUGCCUCUUCAGGGACCGAGCGGAGCCAGGAGAGUGCCGAAAACAACGGGCAGCUGCAGUAAAUACCAAAGUCAUUUGCAGGAGGGAGGAACCCCGGGAGGAUCUCAGCCGGGUGUUUCAGCUCAAGCUUUUGCUCCGCGACGGACGCACUCGAAGUCCUGAGUGGUCUGCUGUCCCCCCAGACCCACCCUGGAAACAAAAGAACAUCGUGCUGCUGUCAUCACAUCGCAUAGAAUGUUUAGAAAGGGCCACGCUUACCAAGACGCUCCAGCCAGCCAACACCGGUCCUGAACUUCUUGGCCGCAUGCUAGAAAUGCACCGGGCUGGAGAGCAGGAGAAGAAAGGAACACGUGCUGUGAUAUAUCGUAAAAGCCUCAAGGCUCUGUUAGGAGAUCUGAAUUCUGGUACUGGAUCUGCCUCUGAUUAACAGAAUGACCUUGGCUUAGUCGCCUUCCCUCUCCAGAUCUUAACUUUCCUCAUCCAUAAAAUAAGGCUAAACCAGAUGAUUUCGAAGGGCCACCCAAAAAAAUUUCAAAGAACGAUGAGAGCUUUCCUCUAGAGAAUACAGACAACGGUAAUACAAUGGGUCUAAAAUGAGUUUCUCAUGUUAUGUGCUUUCUAGGUAACAGAAUAGCUUCAUCGGCAUAGGUUUGGCUUGAAAGGUUUCCUCCCCUAACCUGCUAAAGGCUCUGGUCCUCCCUAGGCUAUGCAUAAGAAUUAACUUCAGCCAGGUCUAUUUGAAAUUAGCCGUGAAGUUUCUGGCAGUUGGCUGCAACAACUGAUCCCCAGUCUGAAUCCUCCAUAGGGAAGCCUACUUGACCUAUCUGGGCAUGGAACCCAAGCUCUUAGUCUCCUAGAAACAGUUUCUAUGUCCUCUUCAGUCAAAUGAAAAACAGGAUGCCAUUAAAAAGAAAUUUAUUUGACAAAUAUUUAUCUGAAACAUUUUCUAUUUAUAAAAGGGAAUUCUUGGUUUAGUCAUAAAUAAUUCUAUUACAGGUAUCAGUAUCCAUGCAUUCAUUCAAGAAAUAUUUAUUGAGCACCCACAUUGCACCAAGCACUCUUCUAGGUUCAAUAAAUCCAAGAGUGGAAAAGAAUAAGUUCUCUGUUCUCAUGGAGCUUACACUCUAAUGAGAGGGGCCAGGAAGAGACAGUAAACAAAAAUAAGUGUAGGGCGGUGGGACAGGAAGGGGGUGGGCUACACCUCAUCGGUGGACUCUUUGGAAAAACUAGCCAUGCAUAGCUCAGGGAGGAGCGCACUCUGGGCAGAGGGAAGAGCUAGGGACAGAAAGAAAGCCAGUGUGGCUAGAAUGCAAUGGUGGAGGAAGUGAGUGGUGUGAAAUAAAGUCAGAGAGAUAGGUUUGAGCUAGACCACUUAUGUGAUUUGAUUUUAUGCUAAUUAUAGGAGGGUGCAUAUCAGAGAGUUUUAAGCAGGCUAGCGACAUGAUCUACAUUCCCUUUUUAGAAAGUAUUCCUGCUCUGGGAAGAG